Molecule: transfer RNA, 71 nt
Filed under: Bos taurus (domestic cattle)
Lineage: Eukaryota; Metazoa; Chordata; Mammalia; Artiodactyla; Bovidae
Also listed under: 4 other names
Rfam family: tRNA
About the family: Transfer RNA (tRNA) molecules are approximately 80 nucleotides in length. Their secondary structure includes four short double-helical elements and three loops (D, anti-codon, and T loops).
Source: Rfam by way of RNAcentral
UCCUUGGUAGUCCAGUGGUUAGGACUCUGCCUCCAAUGCUGGGGAUAUGGGUUCAGUCCCUGGCCAGGGAA